ACGAACUGUCCAAACGUUAUUCGGAAUCACUGGGCUUAAAGGGUGCGUAGGCGGCGUAGUAAGUUGGAUGUGAAAUCCUACGGCUCAACCGUAGAACUGCGUUCAAUACUGCUAUGCUUGAGGGAGAUAGAGGUAAGCGGAACUUCGGGUGGAGCGGUGAAAUGCGUAGAUAUCCGAAGGAACACCAGUGGCGAAAGCGGCUUACUGGGUCUCUUCUGACGCUGAGGCACGAAAGCUAGGGUAGCGAACGGG
Molecule: ribosomal RNA, 252 nt
Filed under: uncultured bacterium
Lineage: Bacteria
Description: partial 16S ribosomal RNA
Rfam family: Bacterial small subunit ribosomal RNA
Source: RNAcentral